AUUGAACGCUGGCGGCAUGCCUUACACAUGCAAGUCGGGCGGCAGCGCGGGGGCAACCCUGGCGGCGAGCGGCGAACGGGUGAGUAACGCAUCGGAACGUGUCCUGAAGUGGGGGAUAACCUACCGAAAGGUAGGCUAAUACCGCAUGGGCUCGGGAGAGCAAAGGGGGGNUCGCAAGACCUCUCGCUUGAGGAGCGGCCGAUGUCGGAUUAGCUAGUUGGGUGGGGUAAAGGCCCACCAAGGCGACGAUCCGUAGCGGGUCUGAGAGGAUGAUCCGCCACACUGGGACUGAGACACGGCCCAGACUCCUACGGGAGGCAGCAGGUGGGGUAAUUUUGGACAAAGUGGGGGCAACCCUGAUACCAGCCAUGCCGCGUGUGUGAAGAAGGCCUU
This 393-nucleotide ribosomal RNA is filed under the name uncultured bacterium. RNAcentral describes it as "bacterial SSU rRNA". It matches the Rfam family "Bacterial small subunit ribosomal RNA", at positions 28 to 418 of the family's 1533-position model. The record is from RNAcentral.